RNAcentral lists this ribosomal RNA (2483 nucleotides) under Escherichia coli. Its description in RNAcentral is "partial 23S ribosomal RNA". It matches the Rfam family "Bacterial large subunit ribosomal RNA", at positions 452 to 2915 of the family's 2925-position model. The record is from RNAcentral. Lineage: Bacteria; Pseudomonadati; Pseudomonadota; Gammaproteobacteria; Enterobacterales; Enterobacteriaceae.
ACCAUCCUCCAAGGCUAAAUACUCCUGACUGACCGAUAGUGAACCAGUACCGUGAGGGAAAGGCGAAAAGAACCCCGGCGAGGGGAGUGAAAAAGAACCUGAAACCGUGUACGUACAAGCAGUGGGAGCACGCUUAGGCGUGUGACUGCGUACCUUUUGUAUAAUGGGUCAGCGACUUAUAUUCUGUAGCAAGGUUAACCGAAUAGGGGAGCCGAAGGGAAACCGAGUCUUAACUGGGCGUUAAGUUGCAGGGUAUAGACCCGAAACCCGGUGAUCUAGCCAUGGGCAGGUUGAAGGUUGGGUAACACUAACUGGAGGACCGAACCGACUAAUGUUGAAAAAUUAGCGGAUGACUUGUGGCUGGGGGUGAAAGGCCAAUCAAACCGGGAGAUAGCUGGUUCUCCCCGAAAGCUAUUUAGGUAGCGCCUCGUGAAUUCAUCUCCGGGGGUAGAGCACUGUUUCGGCAAGGGGGUCAUCCCGACUUACCAACCCGAUGCAAACUGCGAAUACCGGAGAAUGUUAUCACGGGAGACACACGGCGGGUGCUAACGUCCGUCGUGAAGAGGGAAACAACCCAGACCGCCAGCUAAGGUCCCAAAGUCAUGGUUAAGUGGGAAACGAUGUGGGAAGGCCCAGACAGCCAGGAUGUUGGCUUAGAAGCAGCCAUCAUUUAAAGAAAGCGUAAUAGCUCACUGGUCGAGUCGGCCUGCGCGGAAGAUGUAACGGGGCUAAACCAUGCACCGAAGCUGCGGCAGCGACGCUGAUGCGUUGUUGGGUAGGGGAGCGUUCUGUAAGCCUGUGAAGGUGUGCUGUGAGGCAUGCUGGAGGUAUCAGAAGUGCGAAUGCUGACAUAAGUAACGAUAAAGCGGGUGAAAAGCCCGCUCGCCGGAAGACCAAGGGUUCCUGUCCAACGUUAAUCGGGGCAGGGUGAGUCGACCCCUAAGGCGAGGCCGAAAGGCGUAGUCGAUGGGAAACAGGUUAAUAUUCCUGUACUUGGUGUUACUGCGAAGGGGGGACGGAGAAGGCUAUGUUGGCCGGGCGACGGUUGUCCCGGUUUAAGCGUGUAGGCUGGUUUUCCAGGCAAAUCCGGAAAAUCAAGGCUGAGGCGUGAUGACGAGGCACUACGGUGCUGAAGCAACAAAUGCCCUGCUUCCAGGAAAAGCCUCUAAGCAUCAGGUAACAUCAAAUCGUACCCCAAACCGACACAGGUGGUCAGGUAGAGAAUACCAAGGCGCUUGAGAGAACUCGGGUGAAGGAACUAGGCAAAAUGGUGCCGUAACUUCGGGAGAAGGCACGCUGAUAUGUAGGUGAAGUCCCUCGCGGAUGGAGCUGAAAUCAGUCGAAGAUACCAGCUGGCUGCAACUGUUUAUUAAAAACACAGCACUGUGCAAACACGAAAGUGGACGUAUACGGUGUGACGCCUGCCCGGUGCCGGAAGGUUAAUUGAUGGGGUCAGCGCAAGCGAAGCUCUUGAUCGAAGCCCCGGUAAACGGCGGCCGUAACUAUAACGGUCCUAAGGUAGCGAAAUUCCUUGUCGGGUAAGUUCCGACCUGCACGAAUGGCGUAAUGAUGGCCAGGCUGUCUCCACCCGAGACUCAGUGAAAUUGAACUCGCUGUGAAGAUGCAGUGUACCCGCGGCAAGACGGAAAGACCCCGUGAACCUUUACUAUAGCUUGACACUGAACAUUGAGCCUUGAUGUGUAGGAUAGGUGGGAGGCUUUGAAGUGUGGACGCCAGUCUGCAUGGAGCCGGCCUUGAAAUACCACCCUUUAAUGUUUGAUGUUCUAACGUUGACCCGUUAUCCGGGUUGCGGACAGUGUCUGGUGGGUAGUUUGACUGGGGCGGUCUCCUCCUAAAGAGUAACGGAGGAGCACGAAGGUUGGCUAAUCCUGGUCGGACAUCAGGAGGUUAGUGCAAUGGCAUAAGCCAGCUUGACUGCGAGCGUGACGGCGCGAGCAGGUGCGAAAGCAGGUCAUAGUGAUCCGGUGGUUCUGAAUGGAAGGGCCAUCGCUCAACGGAUAAAAGGUACUCCGGGGAUAACAGGCUGAUACCGCCCAAGAGUUCAUAUCGACGGCGGUGUUUGGCACCUCGAUGUCGGCUCAUCACAUCCUGGGGCUGAAGUAGGUCCCAAGGGUAUGGCUGUUCGCCAUUUAAAGUGGUACGCGAGCUGGGUUUAGAACGUCGUGAGACAGUUCGGUCCCUAUCUGCCGUGGGCGCUGGAGAACUGAGGGGGGCUGCUCCUAGUACGAGAGGACCGGAGUGGACGCAUCACUGGUGUUCGGGUUGUCAUGCCAAUGGCACUGCCCGGUAGCUAAAUGCGGAAGAGAUAAGUGCUGAAAGCAUCUAAGCACGAAACUUGCCCCGAGAUGAGUUCUCCCUGACUCCUUGAGAGUCCUGAAGGAACGUUGAAGACGACGACGUUGAUAGGCCGGGUGUGUAAGCGCAGCGAUGCGUUGAGCUAACCGGUACUAAUGAACCGUGAG